This 488-nucleotide ribosomal RNA is filed under the name uncultured bacterium. RNAcentral's name for it is "partial 16S ribosomal RNA". It matches the Rfam family "Bacterial small subunit ribosomal RNA", at positions 28 to 507 of the family's 1533-position model. The record is from RNAcentral.
GACGAACGCUGGCGGCGUGCUUAACACAUGCAAGUCGAACGGAAAGGCCCUGCUUUUGUGGGGUGCUCGAGUGGCGAACGGGUGAGUAACACGUGAGUAACCUGCCCUUGACUUUGGGAUAACUUCAGGAAACUGGGGCUAAUACCGGAUAGGAGCUCCUGCUGCAUGGUGGGGGUUGGAAAGUUUCGGCGGUUGGGGAUGGACUCGCGGCUUAUCAGCUUGUUGGUGGGGUAGUGGCUUACCAAGGCUUUGACGGGUAGCCGGCCUGAGAGGGUGACCGGCGACACUGGAACGGAGACAGGGUCCAGACUCGGACGGGAGGCCGCAGUAGGGAAUAUUCAGAAAUGGGCGAAAGCCUGGUGGAGAAAAGCCGCGUGAGUGAUGAAGGUGUUCGGAGCGGAAAAGGCGGUUAUGAGGGAAGAAGAAAUGUGUAAGGAAGUAUGCACGGCUUGACGGUAACUAAUAAGAAAGAAAGGGCGAACUAAGUG